UACAGAGGGUGCAAGCGUUACUCGGAAUUACUGGGCGUAAAGCGUGCGUAGACGGUUAUGUAAGUCGGGUGUGAAAGCCCCGGGCUCAACCUGGGAAUUGCAUUCGAGACUGCAUAGCUAGGAUGCGGAAGAGGGAAGCGGAAUUUCCGGUGUAGCGGUGAAAUGCGUAGAUAUCGGAAGGAACACCAGUGGCGAAAGCGGCUUCCUGGUCCAGCAUCGACGUUCAGGCACGAAAGCGUGGGGAGCAAACGGG
This 253-nucleotide ribosomal RNA is filed under the name uncultured bacterium. RNAcentral describes it as "partial 16S ribosomal RNA". It matches the Rfam family "Bacterial small subunit ribosomal RNA", at positions 524 to 776 of the family's 1533-position model. The record is from RNAcentral.